CCCUUAGAUGUUCUGGGCCGCACGCGUGCUACACUGAGUGGAUCAGCGGGUCAGGUUGCGCGAAAGUGUUUCCUAAUCUUGAAAUCCGCUCGUGAUGGGGAUUGACGGUUCAAUUUUCCGUCAUGAACGAGGAAUACCUUGUAAGCGCGGGUCAUCAUCCCGCGCUGAAUACGUCCCUGCCCUUUGUACACACCGCCCGUCGCUCCUACCGAUUGAGUGGUCCGGUGAGGCUUUGGGAUCUGAGCGGAAAGAGCGUUUCGCUGUUUCUGCUCGGAAAACUCAGUCGAACCUUAUCAUUUAGAGGAAGGAGAAGUCGUAACA
This 321-nucleotide ribosomal RNA is filed under the name uncultured eukaryote. RNAcentral describes it as "partial 18S ribosomal RNA". It matches the Rfam family "Eukaryotic small subunit ribosomal RNA", at positions 1470 to 1796 of the family's 1831-position model. The record is from RNAcentral.